Long non-coding RNA from Prunus avium (sweet cherry), 718 nucleotides. RefSeq lists it as uncharacterized. NCBI's taxonomy places the organism in Eukaryota, Viridiplantae, Streptophyta, Magnoliopsida, Rosales, Rosaceae. The record is from RefSeq and is a predicted model, not a curated record.
AACUCAAACUCAAACUCAAUCUCAAAGCUAUCUACAAUACUUGCAAACUUAUCAUCACCAAAAGCCCCAAUUGUCUCUUCUGUAAACCCAAAAGGCUACAAUGGCUAAGUAUGUGUCAAUGCCUUUUGUUGCUGCUGCUGGGAUAUAUUUCCUUGACAAAAACCACUACCAACCAAAGGAACUUGGAGGUGGGAUUGGAGAAACCAUCCAACAUGUCGUACCAAAACCGAAGGUGGAGCUGAACAACACCACUCAGAUGCUAAAGUUGGCACCCCAAUUUGACGGGUUGGACUCCUUUGAAACCUUGGUGGCUCGUUAGCUCCCCUUACCCCUGCAGCUAAGCAGGGUAUCCUGGUGCUUCCUUCCAAGGAGUAUUAAUCUUUAGCAGCAUAGGAAGAUAUGUCCUUGCAUCUUCCACCUGCACAUAUUUCACGAAAUAUGAUCAUCUCCUCCUCCUCCUCCAAUAUAGUUAGUUUUCCUGCAUUAUUAAAAGAAAACGAAACUAAGAGCAGGCAACCUAAUUUUCCUUCUGCUAUGAUGUGACGGUAUUAUAUUCAGUGAAGUUACAAUUUCACACACCAACACCAAUUCCAAACGAGGGAUCAUGAUUUGAGCAAGGAAGCCAUCUAUUAUACUAAGCAUUGAAAACUCUGACUCUGAAUUGGACACCUAAAGAGUCUGUUACAUCCAUUAUAUACAGCAACAAAAUUCCUCCAUU